AAAUGUCAAACUAAAAUAUUAAAGGGUACAGAAUUUCACAAAUGAAAAGACACAAAAGUGUUGCAAUCUGGGUGGGGCAGGGAAUUGGAGAGGAGUGUGGCUAUGCAGAAAAGCGUUUUCAAAGUAUUUCAGCAAGUGAUUGGGUAAGAAGACAGAGUCUAAGUUUAAACCAGGGCUCAGUUUGUUGGCCUGUGGCUUGUGCAGUAUCAUCCGGUCAGCAGGGGCCAGUCCAAUGUCAAAAUCUCUAAGUGGACGCAUCCCAGCUCCUGUGGCCAGCCAGAGGUGCUGAUGCUUGUCUUCACUGGGCAAGUUGGUAAAGCCAGAAUAAAAACUCUGAUGUAAUAUUGCUAUUGUUAUGUAAGGCCAAGCACACCUGAGAGAACUGUAAGAUCUGGAGCAGACAUGCCUGGAUGGCUACCUGGGAGGACACGAAAGAACUGGGCAUCUUCUGGCCAUUUGCUGGGAAAUGGUGAUGACCAUUAUAGACAUGGAAGUCCUCUUCUGUGGAUCAGUGGCACUGCCCCAAGCCAUAGAACAAAAAGUGAUGACCGGAGCGGGGCAUGGAGGAUCCUAAUGCUGGUGAGGAGUGAGGAAUGGACAAGGAUACCUGAGCUCACAGAAUCAGGAUUGCUACCUCCCUUUCUAGAGACAGAAUACAAGGGCCACUAUGGGAAUCUUUGCCUGAUGGGAUCGAUUUGGGGAGCAGUACAUAGACCCUUUCUGCCCAGUGCCUUUUGCAAAUGGCAUUGGGGCAGAGGAGUUCUGUGUAUUGCCCCCCAUAUGAUUAUUACACGAUUAUUAAAUCUAACUCAUUUUCAAAAAGAGAGAUACAGAACCACCAAUUACAGUUUUUGAUGAACACAAGAUAACUGGCCACCACCUGGAGCUAAUGUGACUCUUGCCAGGAGCAAAGCAACUCAGCAUUUUCAACCUUUUCUGCCGAACCGUAGUGCAGACCUAGGUAUGAUUUCUCCCAGCUCUUAUAGAAUAUCUAAACUAGCUAAGGAAUCCCCUGUUUCUGCCACUGUAGAUACCAGCUGUCUCAGGGGGCUGCAACUGUUAUGUAACCACCAGAGACCCUAGUCUGGGUCACUAGCAGGCUCCAGGGAAAUGCCUUCUGCAGCACCCAGCCCCUGGGGUUCUGGCCUGAUCCCAGGUUCCUGGAGAUACGGUGUCUACUCUGCCCUCUCCUCUCCACCCCUGCCCCACCUUGAUGACCUAGGAACUUUCAGAGGUCAGCACAGUGUGACUGGAAAGAGAAUAGGGUUUGGAAUCAGACAGACCUGCACUGGCCAUACAGUCUUGUUAUUUACAUUUCCUGAAUCUGCGUCCUCAUCUCCCAAAUGCAAAAGAUAAUAGGAUUAAUUUCCUAGGCUCUUAGGAGGCUUCAGAGAGAAAGUGUGUCUAUAGCAACUGGCACACCAUAGGCUUUUCAGUGCUAUCCUGUUCUCAUGUCAUGGCUUCUCUGUGCCCUCAAAAGAGCAUAGGACUGAGGGUGUGUGAAGGCUCUGCUUCAGCAACUCAAAACCUAGGGCAUCUCAGAGCUAACCCAAGACCCACAUUCUGAACCACUGGCAAGUGGAGCAGCAUCCUAGGGAAGCUCCAGGUUGGCCCAAUACCUGCCUGAAUCUGAUGAAAUUAGAAUGGAGCCAGGCCAGCUAGAGGGAACACGGUAACUAGAAAGUCGGCAGCCUGUCAUGAAAACUAAAUGGCCCCAUCUAGGACAGUAAAUAACAAUCUGGAGACUUGGGGCAACAUGAAGUACCUUUCCGCCUAGGCAAGCAACUUACUUCUUGACAGGAUCAACGUUUUCACAUCUCCACUAAUGCUGCAACUGCCACUGAGAAGAAUUAAACCUCAUGGUUCUUUGAAACCAUUGUUUAGUCAAGUUUCUGUUAUUUGGGGCCGAACAUAAACACUAACCAACCCAAGAUGGGCUGAUGGUGAAGAAGGUUCUAGAAAUGGAGUAGCAAAACCAAUCAAAGAACCGAAGAGGUGAGAAUGAAAACUGGGUCGGAAGAGAUGCAACAUGUGGCAAUCUGCAUUUCCCGAGGAGGAGACAGAGCUUCUAUGAACAUCCAGACCUCAUUUGCAUACAUCCCUGGGCCGAAUAGGUAUCUCAAGAAAAGAGAAGUCACAAGUAGACUGACUGCGCAGGCAGUGCAAUUCCUAUACGCAAAUUAACACUUCGACUUUGGGCAUAUCAGGCUAUUGAUAGUGAACUUAAUUUGCCUGGCUUGCCAUUCAGGUUGGAUCACACCUAAGGACACUAGGCAAGCCAGUUUCCUAAUAUAAUCUAAUUUUAAACAUAAUACCAUCAUUCUGGUUGUAACAACGUACUCUUAGUUUUCCUUUCAUAAUAUCCUGGAUGGACUCCAUUUACCUCCCUGGAACUGAGCCCUGGUCGGGCAAUGGAAAAACCAAAGCUUGAAGCCACAGCCGUCUGCUUAACCCAGCACCACUAAGCAGCUGGAAGACCUUGAGCAAGCCACUUAAGUACCCCGUGCUUUGGGUUUCUCAUCUGUCAAAAGACAACAGUCAUCCUGACUUCUGUGGAUUAUCACAGAGCAUGGCGGAAAGGGCUUAGCACAAGGCUGAUCACGCUGCAGGCGAAGAACUGAAGAGUGGUACAUACUCCCUGCCUUGCCAACCCCCCGUCUCUCCUUGCUGCUCAUACGAAAUUGACUCUGAGUUUCACCUGCUCUUUUAAAUCUGACGUCAAAUCAGGAAUUCUCCACCUUGAAACUCUUCCAUAUGUGAACUCUGCCCGUACUGGUACCUGAGUUUGCUUUCCCACGCAUCAAGUGAUGAGCUUGGCCCUUUCCUCUCUGCUCCCUGAGUUCCUGAGCUACCACUAAUGAUUGCUACUGGUCAGCAUCCCCCACACUCUGUGAGGGCCUGAAGUUAAAACCCUGUUGUGUCUGUUGUUCUAUCUCCAGCUCCUAGUUCAGUUCUUGACCCAUAGUUAAUGCUCACAGACUCAUGGAAUAAAUGAAGGAAUGAAUGAA
Callithrix jacchus (white-tufted-ear marmoset) is the source of this 3008-nucleotide non-coding RNA. The record is from RefSeq and is a predicted model, not a curated record. NCBI's taxonomy places the organism in Eukaryota, Metazoa, Chordata, Mammalia, Primates, Cebidae.